AGAGUUUGAUCAUGGCUCAGAUUGAACGCUGGCGGCAGGCCUAACACAUGCAAGUCGAACGGUAACAGGAAGCAGCUUGCUGCUUUGCUGACGAGUGGCGGACGGGUGAGUAAUGUCUGGGAAACUGCCUGAUGGAGGGGGAUAACUACUGGAAACGGUGGCUAAUACCGCAUAACGUCGCAAGACCAAAGAGGGGGACCUUCGGGCCUCUUGCCAUCAGAUGUGCCCAGAUGGGAUUAGCUUGUUGGUGAGGUAACGGCUCACCAAGGCGACGAUCCCUAGCUGGUCUGAGAGGAUGACCAGCCACACUGGAACUGAGACACGGUCCAGACUCCUACGGGAGGCAGCAGUGGGGAAUAUUGCACAAUGGGCGCAAGCCUGAUGCAGCCAUGCCGCGUGUAUGAAGAAGGCCUUCGGGUUGUAAAGUACUUUCAGCGGGGAGGAAGGUGUUGUGGUUAAUAACCGCAGCAAUUGACGUUACCCGCAGAAGAAGCACCGGCUAACUCCGUGCCAGCAGCCGCGGUAAUACGGAGGGUGCAAGCGUUAAUCGGAAUUACUGGGCGUAAAGCGCACGCAGGCGGUCUGUCAAGUCGGAUGUGAAAUCCCCGGGCUCAACCUGGGAACUGCAUUCGAAACUGGCAGGCUUGAGUCUUGUAGAGGGGGGUAGAAUUCCAGGUGUAGCGGUGAAAUGCGUAGAGAUCUGGAGGAAUACCGGUGGCGAAGGCGGCCCCCUGGACAAAGACUGACGCUCAGGUGCGAAAGCGUGGGGAGCAAACAGGAUUAGAUACCCUGGUAGUCCACGCCGUAAACGAUGUCUACUUGGAGGUUGUGCCCUUGAGGCGUGGCUUCCGGAGCUAACGCGUUAAGUAGACCGCCUGGGGAGUACGGCCGCAAGGUUAAAACUCAAAUGAAUUGACGGGGGCCCGCACAAGCGGUGGAGCAUGUGGUUUAAUUCGAUGCAACGCGAAGAACCUUACCUGGUCUUGACAUCCACAGAACUUUCCAGAGAUGGACUGGUGCCUUCGGGAACCGUGAGACAGGUGCUGCAUGGCUGUCGUCAGCUCGUGUUGUGAAAUGUUGGGUUAAGUCCCGCAACGAGCGCAACCCUUAUCCUUUGUUGCCAGCGAUUAGGUCGGGAACUCAAAGGAGACUGCCAGUGAUAAACUGGAGGAAGGUGGGGAUGACGUCAAGUCAUCAUGGCCCUUACGACCAGGGCUACACACGUGCUACAAUGGCGCAUACAAAGAGAAGCGACCUCGCGAGAGCAAGCGGACCUCAUAAAGUGCGUCGUAGUCCGGAUUGGAGUCUGCAACUCGACUCCAUGAAGUCGGAAUCGCUAGUAAUCGUGGAUCAGAAUGCCACGGUGAAUACGUUCCCGGGCCUUGUACACACCGCCCGUCACACCAUGGGAGUGGGUUGCAAAAGAAGUAGGUAGCUUAACCUUCGGGAGAGCGCUUACCACUUUGUGAUUCAUGACUGGGGUGAAGUCGUAACAAGGUAACCGUAGGGGAACCUGCGGUUGGAUCACCU
This 1530-nucleotide ribosomal RNA is filed under the name Salmonella enterica subsp. enterica serovar Choleraesuis str. SCSA50. Its description in RNAcentral is "16S ribosomal RNA". It matches the Rfam family "Bacterial small subunit ribosomal RNA". The record is from RNAcentral. Lineage: Bacteria; Pseudomonadati; Pseudomonadota; Gammaproteobacteria; Enterobacterales; Enterobacteriaceae.